Molecule: non-coding RNA, 29 nt
Filed under: Mus musculus (house mouse)
Lineage: Eukaryota; Metazoa; Chordata; Mammalia; Rodentia; Muridae
Source: RNAcentral
CCGGAAGACAUAAAGGAUAAAGGUCCUGG